AACCGUUGAAUUUAAAAGAACCAACUCUCAGCCUUCUGAUUCUGCCGUUUGUCCAUUUGCCCUCUCAGACGUACGCCACCAAUGGCGGCUGCUCACAAGCUCGGGGUGAUCUUCAGAAACCCCUCUAACGACGCCGAAUUUCUCCUCUACAGACAGCCGCGGCCCCCGAAGUUCGGGGAAGGGGGGGACUACGACCUCUACUCCGACUCCGAUCUCUGGGACUUGCCCUCUACCACUGAAUUGAACCCCAUCGCAGCAGGAGUGGUCGAGCCUCCGAUUCUGGUGCAAGGCGUAGAAAUCUGAUCGGAGAAGAUAGACUUCAGACGAUUCGACCUGAACUCUGCUUUGAUUUCGUGAUCUUUCAUGGGCCCGACAGGUUCUGGGGCGUGUUGGUUUAGGGGUUGCCGACGUGGGGGACUGGAAGUUCUUCAAGUGUGUGGAAGAAGCAGAGUUUGGACCGGGGCCACCUAUCAAUUUCGUGUUUGUUGAGGCGAAAUUGCUGCACAAGAACCCGAUUUUACGAGAGCAUUGUAAAUGGAUGUCUAUACAUACUUGUCGGGAAUGGCUUGUGAAUGUGAAACCGGGUGGUGUUCGAGUUGGACUCUUGGCAGUUAUUGGUCUAAUAAAUGAAUCCACAGAACCGACAAAAUUUCAACUGACAUCAACCAUAAGAUUUCAGGAGUACCCUCCCGGUGUUGUUGUUAUACCAAUGAGAAGUAAGACAGCAAAGCCUUUUCACACCACAAAUUUGGUCGUGUGUGCUCCUGAAAAUGAUUCAGGGGAAUGCAAAGACAGUAGUUUUGUCGCUUCCGGUGAUGCACUAAUAGUGGAUCCGGGAUGCCGGUCCGAAUCUCUUGAAGAGCUCAGGGAAAUCGUGGCUGCUUUGCCAAGAAGAUUGAUCGUUUUUGCCUCCCACCAUCACCGUGAUCAUAUUAAUGGGCUCUCGGUUAUCCAAAAAACAAAUCCUGACUCCAUCCUAUUAGCACACAAAAGCACCAUGUCUCGUAUUCAUAAAGUUGAUGGUUAUUGAACUAUUGUCUACAGCAACUGGACAGCUAUGCAAUUUACCACUGUAAAUCCCACUCAUACGUCAUGUUAUUUUGCCUUUUCUUUUUGUAAUAAUAGUCAGUGCCCCUGCAACAAGAUACAUAAAUGUGAAUUGUUAACAAUAGUAUAUAUCCUCUCGUGGUGCGAACAUGAUGUUCUCUUCAGCCCUCACAACAGGGAAUCUUUAUCGUCAUCAUCAACUGAUAAGAGGGCAAUGCAGCUUUACUCUACUUCAUAGGUAGAGGUCUGUGAAAUUUUAUUUCUUUGUUGUGAUGGGCCCUCCUGAGCAUUUUUUGAUCUUUCUUUCUUGCACUAACACCUCAAUUGGCAGUUCAAUGUGAUAAAGUGAUUCCAAACUAACAGAUGUCAUGUUUGUACACUGCUGUAGGCUUUGAUUCGAAGCUGUUAGGCUGUCCUCGGCAAAAGUUUGGUAACUUAUAGCCCAUUAUAUAUUUACAUGAAAAUUUUGACAAAGAUCGCCUGAACACCUGUAUGUUAUAACACGUUAAUGGUCAUUUGCAUGCAAAAUCCUUUGAUAAGGUAUGAUUUAUUUGGGCAGCAGGAACUCAUAGAGGCACUGUUACAUCAUGACCUCCCUUUGUAUAUGGUACCCUUCAAUACCAGAGGUCUCGUGUUCUGUAAAACUGACGUAUGAGUUGCUACAUAAGUGAUAACGGGGGGAAGUUAACGGGCCUUUUGACCAAUUCGACUCAUAUGCAGAAGGACUAUCGGCCGAUCCGUUCAUCAGAACAGCCUUCUAUCUUUGGAAGAAGCUCGAAACUUGUUGACCGAUUUCCAACGCAUAUCCUCCACAGAUGUUUCAAUGCCCUUCCAUGCUCCAUCAUUUUCUUUGUUCUACCUGUCUCUCUUUCCAGUGUGCGCAACGUAAAGGAAACUUUUGAUGCAUUAGUUAUUUUGGCAUCCGUUGAAUUUUCUGAUGAAAGAUCCGAUGAUCAUAGACAGAAUCUGAAGUUUAUUUGUGCUGGCUCUUCUAUUGUGCUAUUGCCUUAUAGCGGUGGAUUAUUUGGAUCCGAGUCAUUUGACGAAUAAUCUGUAGCCGCAUUCAUUUCGAUAAUCAAUGAGAUGCACAGAUUUGUUGACUCCAAAAGAGAAUAGAUCUUCACAGAACUCAGUCACCCCCUUUAAACAUCACCCAAACUGUUCAGAGACUACCUGCACGUUGAAGUAAAUUGUAAUCCAUGGUUCAGGUCAGACGACAGCUUGUCAAUGCAAGUGGGCAAGUGAAAUCAAGUACAGGAUAUGAAAAAUCAAACAACGGGUUCUCUUAGCAAAGUUCAACCUUUGACAUUCUCCGUUCUCUAUGGAACCGAGAGAUUAGCGAAGAAAAGGUCCAGAAGUGGCUUAAUGCAGGAACAACUGCGAGGAAGUUGUUGAGCGAGGAGUGGAGAGUCGUUUCCAAUGGAUGGAUCCCCAACCCGACGACCUGCUAUGACAUAGGCCAAGAGGCAAAGAAGAUCGGGCUUGCUAUCCCGGAUUUCCAUCAACGCAACCGAACAGGAGUAAUCAUCGAGUUCUGCUAGCUUUUCGAGCAGCUGCAAAACUUUGAUAGAAGACAUUGUUAUCCCAGGCGACACGGAGAAGAAAUCAAAUUCAUCUGAAGGGAGAAACCAUCACGCCCAGAUGGUUGUACGAAGAGGAGAUGUGGGAUUUAUAUGUAAUUUUCACGGUUCUCAUUAGUAGUUAAAACUUAAAACUUGUGAACGGCAUACGGUAAUUAUUAGAUAAACAAAAACAACUUGCGAUUUAUUAUUAAUUCAAAAAAUUGAUUUACAGAUGGGGUCCAGGUGCAAAGCAAA
Molecule: non-coding RNA, 2864 nt
Organism: Punica granatum (pomegranate)
Lineage: Eukaryota; Viridiplantae; Streptophyta; Magnoliopsida; Myrtales; Lythraceae
Source: RefSeq, a predicted model, not a curated record